GUUGGUUAAUGCAUUGCUCUCACAGCCUGGUGUUUAAAUUCAAGAUCUGGUUCGAUUCCUAUUGAUCGAGUAAAUAAAUGAAACUGUAACACCCCGGCCCAGGCCCAAGUGGAAAAGGCCCAACAGAGAGAAACCCUAAGUAACCUUAAUCCUAACAACUAUAAAAGGAAGUGCCUCCCUACAGCUGAGCCAUCAGACACUCACCAAGCGAAGCCCUGCGAGAAUCGAGAGCCGCCGCCGCCACCAUUCCACCGAGGAAGCGCUGCCGUCGACCACCGCGCGCGCAGUCCAAGUCGCCGAUCGCGGGUACCAAGCCGUCGGCUUCUCGAUUCUGUGGAGUGUAACCGCCUUCGUUUAGAUCAUUAAGACUUCUGAGAACCAGAUCCGGAACAGAACCUACUCCCUUCGCUGUCCUAGAACCAGAUCGACAACCAACUAAGUUACGACCGAGGAAAUGCAGGAGUAAGGUUGGAGUGGUGCUGGUUCUUGGGUCGGGAAAUGCAUUUAUUUUUGUUUUCUUUAUUUUAAAUCUUUUGUCCUUUCAAGACCAGUGUUCAAACAUGUUUUCCAUUAAGGAUUUUUAAGCAAUAAAAAGGAUACGAGUUUU
Long non-coding RNA from Brassica rapa (field mustard), 607 nucleotides. RefSeq lists it as uncharacterized. The record is from RefSeq and is a predicted model, not a curated record. Lineage: Eukaryota; Viridiplantae; Streptophyta; Magnoliopsida; Brassicales; Brassicaceae.